RNAcentral lists this ribosomal RNA (808 nucleotides) under uncultured bacterium. Its description in RNAcentral is "bacterial SSU rRNA". It matches the Rfam family "Bacterial small subunit ribosomal RNA", at positions 8 to 796 of the family's 1533-position model. The record is from RNAcentral.
AGAGUUUGAUCCUGGCUCAGGACAAGCGCUGGCGGCGUGGAUUAGGCAUGCAAGUCAUUUUAAUAAAAUCUUCGGAUUUUAUUAGAGUGGCGAAAGGGUGAGUAACACGUAGGUAAUCUACCUUCAAGAUUGGGAUAACACUUCGAAAGAGGUGCUAAUACCGGAUACGUUCACGUUUUCGCAUGAAAGUGUGAAGAAAGAUGGUGUUUUCGGACAUUGUUACUUGAAGAUGAGCCUGCGGCCUAUUAGCUAGUUGGUAGGGUAAUGGCCUACCAAGGCGGCGAUGGGUAGCUGGCCUGAGAGGGUGGUCAGCCACAUUGGGACUGAGACACUGCCCAAACUCCUACGGGAGGCUGCAGUCGAGGAUAUUUGGCAAUGGGGGAAACCCUGACCAUGCGACGCCGCGUGAGGGAUGAAGGCCUUCGGGUUGUAAACCUCUGUGUUACGGGAAGAGACGUGGGUUAGUGAGAGCUAUCUUACCUGACGGUACCGUAAUAGAAAGCCCCAGCAAACUGCGUGCCAGCAGCUGCGGUAAUACGUAGGGGGCGAGCGUUGUCCGGAAUCAUUGGGCGUAAAGGGUGUGUAGGCGGCCGUGUAAGUCUUAUGUGAAAUUGCUGGGCUCAACCGAGCAAUUGCAUUUGACACUACAUGGCUUGAGUAUAGGAGAGGGAAGUGGAAUGGGUAGUGUAACGGCGAAAUGUGUAGAUAUUAUCCAGAACACCGGUGGCGAAGGCGGCUUCCUGGCCUGAUACUGACGCUGAGGCACGAAAGUUAGGGUAGCGAACGGGAUUAGAUACCCUGGUAGUCC